Lepisosteus oculatus (spotted gar) is the source of this 119-nucleotide ribosomal RNA. The record is from Rfam. NCBI's taxonomy places the organism in Eukaryota, Metazoa, Chordata, Actinopteri, Semionotiformes, Lepisosteidae.
UGCAGCAGCCAUAUCACCCUGUAUCUCACAACUGGCAGCCCACUGAAGCUCAGCAGGUGUGAGCCUGUUCAGUACCUGGAUGGGAGACCUCCUGGGAAAAACUAAGAUUGCUGCUGGAA